This 61-nucleotide small RNA is filed under the name Sinorhizobium meliloti 2011. RNAcentral's name for it is "putative ncRNA". The record is from RNAcentral. Lineage: Bacteria; Pseudomonadati; Pseudomonadota; Alphaproteobacteria; Hyphomicrobiales; Rhizobiaceae.
AAAAGACCGCAAGCAACCGGUCAAGCGCGGCUUCCGCGCUUGACUUGCUGUUCAGGAAUGU